Molecule: ribosomal RNA, 251 nt
Filed under: uncultured prokaryote
Description: partial 16S rRNA
Rfam family: Bacterial small subunit ribosomal RNA
Source: RNAcentral
ACAGAGGUGGCGAGCGUUGUUCGGAUUUACUGGGCGUAAAGGGCGCGUAGGCGGCCGCGUAUGUCGGGUGUGAAAUCCCAGGGCUCAACCCUGGAAGUGCGCCGGAAACUGCGCGGCUCGAGUGCGGGAGGGGAGAUCGGAAUGCAGGGUGUAGGGGUGAAAUGCGUUGAUAUCCGGCGGAACACCGGUGGCGAAGGCGAAUCACUGGAACGCAACUGACGCUGAGGCGCGAAAGUGGGGGGAGCAAACAG